This 421-nucleotide long non-coding RNA is filed under the name Bos taurus (domestic cattle). RNAcentral's name for it is "long non-coding RNA NONBTAT016774". The record is from RNAcentral. Lineage: Eukaryota; Metazoa; Chordata; Mammalia; Artiodactyla; Bovidae.
GUUUAACAACUGUACACUUUUUGCAGCCUUGAAAACAUUUUUGUACUUGAAUGGGAAAAUAUAGUUUGACCAAAUCUUAACUUUAUUCUUAUCUACCUCAGAGAAACAGUGAGAAAACUCACGAAUCUAACAGAGUCAACGACUGGCAAACAGGUGCGACAUUGCUCGGAUGCAUUUUUGUACGAAGUUGCUAAAACUGCACUGAUUCAGUGUUCACUGUGAGGUGAAAAAUUUAGUCCUACAUGGUUUUCCUUUUUGGAUUACAAUGACUCAGAAUGAAAUUGUGAAAUUACAAAUUCAAUAGUCAACCAGAAAUAAGAACACACCUAGCAAUAUCCUUUUUGCAAAGGCUAAACUGCAAGGUGGAUAACUACAAUGUCAAAUGCCAAACUAACAAUUCAUAGAACAAUCAGUGAUACUU